Molecule: ribosomal RNA, 460 nt
Filed under: uncultured bacterium
Lineage: Bacteria
Description: partial 16S ribosomal RNA
Rfam family: Bacterial small subunit ribosomal RNA
Source: RNAcentral
CCUACGGGUGGCAGCAGUGAGGAAUAUUGGUCAAUGGGCGCGAGCCUGAACCAGCCAAGUAGCGUGAAGGAUGACUGCCCUACGGGUUGUAAACUUAUUAUAUAAAGGAAUAAAGUGAGGCACGUGUGCCUGUAUGUAUGUAUUUUAUGACUAAGGAUCGGCUAACUCCGUGCCAGCAGCCGCGGUAAUACGGAGGAUCAGGGAGUUAUCCGGAUUUAGUGGGUUUAAAGGGAGCGUAGAUGGGUUGUUAAGUCAGUUGUGAACGUUUGCGGCUCAACCGUAAAAUUGCAAUUGAUACUGGCAGCCUUGAGUACAGUUGAGGUAGGCGGAAUUCGUGGUGUAGCGGUGAACUGCUUAGAUAUCACGAAGAACUCCGAUUGCGAAGGCAGCCUACUAAACUGCCACUGACAUUGAUGCUCGAAAGUGUGGGUAUCAAACAGGAUUAGAUACCCGGGUAGUC